CGCCUUAUACUCCUACGGGAGGCAGCAGUGGGGAAUAUUGGACAAUGGGCGAAAGCCUGAUCCAGCAAUGCCGCGUGAGUGAUGGGGGCCUUAGGGUUGUAAAGCUCUUUUACCCGGGAUGAUAAUGACAGUACCGGGAGAAUAAGCUCCGGCUAACUCCGUGCCAGCAGCCGCGGUAAUACGGAGGGAGCUAGCGUUAUUCGGAAUUACUGGGCGUAAAGCGCACGUAGGCGGCUUUGUAAGUAAGAGGUGAAAGCCCAGAGCUCAACUCUGGAAUUGCCUUUUAGACUGCAUCGCUUGAAUCAUGGAGAGGUCAGUGGAAUUCCGAGUGUAGAGGUGAAAUUCGUAGAUAUUCGGAAGAACUCCAGUGGCGAAGGCGGCUGACUGGACAUGUAUUGACGCUGAGGUGCGAAAGCGUGGGGAGCAAACAGGAUUAGAAACCCUAGUAGUCCACGUACCA
Molecule: ribosomal RNA, 460 nt
Filed under: uncultured bacterium
Lineage: Bacteria
Description: bacterial SSU rRNA
Rfam family: Bacterial small subunit ribosomal RNA
Source: RNAcentral